GGAUCCGUGGCGCAAUGGUAGCGCGCGUCUGACUCCAGAUCAGAAGGUUGCGUGUUCGAUUCACGUCGGGUUCA
This 74-nucleotide transfer RNA is filed under the name Eragrostis curvula (weeping love grass). Its description in RNAcentral is "tRNA tRNA-Trp". It matches the Rfam family "tRNA". Rfam says of the family: Transfer RNA (tRNA) molecules are approximately 80 nucleotides in length. Their secondary structure includes four short double-helical elements and three loops (D, anti-codon, and T loops). Further hydrogen bonds mediate the characteristic L-shaped molecular structure. tRNAs have two regions of fundamental functional importance: the anti-codon, which is responsible for specific mRNA codon recognition, and the 3' end, to which the tRNAs corresponding amino acid is attached (by aminoacyl-tRNA synthetases). tRNAs cope with the degeneracy of the genetic code in two manners: having more than one tRNA (with a specific anti-codon) for a particular amino acid; and 'wobble' base-pairing, i.e. permitting non-standard base-pairing at the 3rd anti-codon position. Lineage: Eukaryota; Viridiplantae; Streptophyta; Magnoliopsida; Poales; Poaceae. The record is from Rfam by way of RNAcentral.